AGCUCAAAUUUGAAAUCUGGCCCCCUCGGGGUCCGAGUUGUAAUUUGCAGAGGGUGCUUUGGCGUUGGCAGCGGUCUAAGUUCCUUGGAACAGGACAUCGCAGAGGGUGAGAAUCCCGUAUGUGGUCGCAUGCCUCCGCCGUGUAAAGCCCCUUCGACGAGUCGAGUUGUUUGGGAAUGCAGCUCUAAAUGGGAGGUAAAUUUCUUCUAAAGCUAAAUACCGGCCAGAGACCGAUAGCGCACAAGUAGAGUGAUCGAAAGAUGAAAAGCACUUUGGAAAGAGAGUCAAACAGCACGUGAAAUUGUUAAAAGGGAAGCGCUUGCAGCCAGACUUGCCUGUAGUUGCUCACCCGGGCUCCUGCCCGGGGCACUCUUCUGCAGGCAGGCCAGCAUCAGUUUGGGCGGUCGGACAAAGGCCUCUGACACGUACUUCCUUUCGGGGAUGACAUAUAGGGGAGGCGCAAUGCGACCAGCCCGGACUGAGGUCCGCGCAUCUGCUAGGAUGCUGGCGUAAUGGCUGUAAGCGGCCCGUCUUGAAACACGGACCAAGGAGUCUAACAUCUAUGCGAGUGUUUGGGUGUCAAGCCCGAGCGCGUAAUGAAAGUGAACGGAGGUGGGAACCCCUCGGGGCGCACCAUCGACCGAUCCUGAUGUCUUCGGAUGGAUUUGAGUAAGAGCAUAGCUGUUGGGACCCGAAAGAUGGUGAACUAUGCUUGAAUAGGGUGAAGCCAGAGGAAACUCUGGUGGAGGCUCGCAGCGGUUCUGACGUGC
This 770-nucleotide ribosomal RNA is filed under the name Periconia chengduensis. RNAcentral describes it as "partial large subunit ribosomal RNA". It matches the Rfam family "Eukaryotic large subunit ribosomal RNA", at positions 106 to 894 of the family's 3401-position model. Lineage: Eukaryota; Fungi; Ascomycota; Dothideomycetes; Pleosporales; Periconiaceae. The record is from RNAcentral.